AAGGCUCUGUUUAGGAAGUUCCUCAAUAAACCUAACUAUGGGUACGUUUACCCUUAAUUCAAAUACAAAUUGAGAUAAUAAAAUGAAACUUACUUUGAAAAAGUAGAAUACAAGAGAAAUGUAGCAAACCAACCCUACAAACCCUAAGUUUGAUGUUGAUUCUAACACUUUCUCUUCCCUUGAUCAAAGCUUAAUCAAGUAACCCAACAAUGCCAAUUUGAUUCACUGUCUCACGAUACUCCUUUGCAAGAAACUUCCGUUCUUCA
This 266-nucleotide long non-coding RNA is filed under the name Lathyrus oleraceus (garden pea). Its description in RNAcentral is "Pisum sativum (pea) long non-coding RNA (PSAT_LNC027301)". The record is from RNAcentral. Lineage: Eukaryota; Viridiplantae; Streptophyta; Magnoliopsida; Fabales; Fabaceae.